Ruditapes philippinarum (Manila clam) is the source of this 805-nucleotide long non-coding RNA. RefSeq lists it as uncharacterized. The record is from RefSeq and is a predicted model, not a curated record. The transcript has 5 exons. NCBI's taxonomy places the organism in Eukaryota, Metazoa, Mollusca, Bivalvia, Venerida, Veneridae.
AAGCAGAUGGAAAAUUGUAUCACAGUCAAAUGGCAUUCUAAAUAUAUUUUCUAAAUCUCGAAUAGUACAGUUCAUAAGUUAUUUUUAGACAAAGAAACAACCUAAAUACAAGGAGGGUGAUUUUAUACUACUUAUUAUUCGUUUGUUAUAUGCAUUUGACCUAAAUUGGGACGUAAUAAGGGAGAUCUGCCACCAGUUUAGCUGGAAUGUCAGUGUGCGAUCUCAACAGUGCCGUGGUAAAUUGGAAUUCAACAAAACAAGUAAACUUGUAGUAUUAUUUGAUAAAAGACGAACUGAAGGCGAACCAAGUCGACUUGGUAGAACAUAUAGAGGAAACAAAGAAGUGUCUGAAUAGAUCUUAAAUCAAACUGAAUUUAUCCGAAUAACGGCUGGCCAAAACAACGCAAAAAUGUUUCUUAAAACACUCGAGGCGGGUGACAUGAUUUCGUUUCACAAAAAUGAUAUCACUCAUUGGGGAAUCUACGUUGGGAACAAAAAGGUGGUUCACCUUACUGGGAAGAAAAAAAAGAAAAAAGACCCUUCUCAUCCUUUUUUCACUGUCGCCGAUAAAGAAUAUGCAAAAGCCAUUGUAAAAGAAGAUGAUUUCUUUGUGGUGGCUAAAAUGUUUGAUACAUAUGAGAGAAACCUCUCCGACAAAAAGAAAGGGAUGAUCCCAUACAACCCAGGGGAUAUAGUGAAAUUAGCAAAAGUAAUGAAAGGACGUAUAUUUUAUGACACAAGGUGGAACAGUUGCGAGAAAAUGGCUAUUUUCUGCAGAUAUGUUACUCCUGAUGAUACGCCAGAG